UUGCUUCAGCAGCAUGCAUACUAAAAUUGAAACAAUACAGAGAAAACUGGCAUGGCCCCUGCACAAAGAUGACAUGCAAAUUCAUGAAGCGUUCCAUAUAUUU
This 103-nucleotide small nuclear RNA is filed under the name Catagonus wagneri (Chacoan peccary). The record is from RNAcentral. Lineage: Eukaryota; Metazoa; Chordata; Mammalia; Artiodactyla; Tayassuidae.